AUAAAGCCCCCGAGCCCAAUUGCCGUUCCCCAAAUCCCUCCACCCAGAUCCAGCGCCGCCGCACCAACUACUCCACCGCCGUCCCUUCCAAACCCUGUUCUCCCCUUCCUUGUGCGGCGCCGCCCCUACCUCUCUUCCUCCGCUGACCUCCCGUUCGGUGGAAGCAGCGCAGCCAUUGCCGGAUCUGGCCGGGCUGGUCAUCGGUGCUGUUCGGAUCUGGCCGCGCUGGUCGUCCGUGCUGCCGGAUCUGGCUGCUCCGGGCCUCAUCAACGCCGCCCCGGUUGUUCAACUCUCCACCGCCACUUCCCCAUCAUCAUUCCAUAUGCCUUGCCCGGAUCCGUGAGAGGGUAAGAUCGGGAGUGUAGCCGCUUGUCUCCCGAGGAGCUCGUCCCCGACGGCCUCUCUAUGGACUUCCUCCACCACACUCCCAACGCCACUGCCUUCAAAACGCGGUCCCAUAACCCAGUACUUUCGCGGGAAAAGCACCAGAUCGUCCAUCGACCGCGAGCUGCAUCGACAUCGAGCGUUCCUCUUCUUGGUGGGGCGUGCACCUUCUGGGGGUGAAGGCCUGCAGCACCUGCUGCUAUGGAGAACGGAUGGCGCGGUGGUCGUAGGGCUGCUCCAAAACUCCUCCUACAGUUGUCACCAGUCACACCACGACGCCUCUCUCUUCAUCGAGCUCAUCACCUAAGCUGGCAUCUUCAUUUCAAAAAUAGAUAAAAGAGGAAAAGGGGAUACCAGAAGACACAAGCAUCUGGAAGUAUUCUAAGUGUAUGGCAGAAGCAAGCUGAGGUAUCUCAAAGAUACACAAGUUGCUGGAGGUUUGGAAGAUGUACAAGUUGCUGGAGGUUUGGACGAUCUUACAAGUUGGUGGAGUGAUAAUAUAUAUUACCUCCAUCCCAAAUUACGUUGUCUUAGACUAGAAGGUGUUUUGGUACAUCCGUAUCUAGACAAAUAAUUUGGGAGAUAGGGAGUAUGUAAUAUGCCUUCUUUGUUGAGCCUGAAGAUUUUGCAAGUUUCACUUUGCUCAUUUUGGUGGUUGUUUUGGCACAUAAGCCAUGGAAUGCUCAUUUUGGAUGUGUGGCACAAUUUCUUUUCCUAGAAACAUAUGUACUUUGCAUUGUGGCAGAAUGUUCUUAUGUAUUUGAUUGGUUAAUGUUAUUGAAUGAGACCUUGCAUGUAA
Triticum urartu is the source of this 1183-nucleotide long non-coding RNA. RefSeq lists it as uncharacterized. NCBI's taxonomy places the organism in Eukaryota, Viridiplantae, Streptophyta, Magnoliopsida, Poales, Poaceae. The record is from RefSeq and is a predicted model, not a curated record.